Long non-coding RNA from Bradysia coprophila, 743 nucleotides. RefSeq lists it as uncharacterized. The record is from RefSeq and is a predicted model, not a curated record. Lineage: Eukaryota; Metazoa; Arthropoda; Insecta; Diptera; Sciaridae.
AUAGUCAACACUGAUAAGAGGAGGUCUGAACAAAGUCUGGACCUGAAUGUGUAAUUUUGAAGAAGAAGAAAUAGGAGUUGUCAAUGUUUUUGUUUACAAACCGAAAUGACUCUGUGAUAUUUUCAUGCAAGUGCAAUCAGUUAGUUAAAUUUUUAGUAAAUAAGUUGAUGCCUGAAGAAGCUCUAAAUAAACAGAGCGAAAUAUUGCACCAAAAUUAAAACUGUCUUUUCAAUCCGCCGCUAUAUCCCAGGUCAACAAGAAAACAUUGUGCGAUCACGGCAAAGUAAAUUGAAAACAUUUAAAAUUAAAAAAUGGUUCUCGGACGCCAUAACUGUCAAGUUAGUGAAGUUAUUGGUUAUGUGUUGGAUAUGUUUGAGGCUGAGGCAUCCUAUGAAUUGGCAUACAUGUUGAGCUAUAUGCUGGUAUAAAAGGCUCAAGGCUCAAGUUCAAACUGAUCCAUCCACGCAUCGAUCCUCAACUUUACCAUCAUCUUAAGUUUCAUGGACGAUCUACAUCCACACGGCAAAAAACUUUGUUUUACCUUCCGAAGUUCCACCACGACGUGUAUUUCUCACGAUUAAACUUAAUGGAUGACAGGUUUUCUGUUUUUAAGAGCCUAGUGAUGGUUGUUGAUACUGUUUAAUUUUUGCUAUGUUUUUGGUUUAUGAUUUUUCCUAAUGUUUUCUAUUUUUGUAAUUCGCUGAUCGAUAUAUUAUUGGGCUUUGGCCUAUUUGUUGAUCAUU